AUCCAGCUGGAGAGUCCCAAAUAGGAUGAAACGCACGUCUUGGAU
Molecule: non-coding RNA, 45 nt
Filed under: Schistosoma mansoni
Lineage: Eukaryota; Metazoa; Platyhelminthes; Trematoda; Strigeidida; Schistosomatidae
Source: RNAcentral